Molecule: ribosomal RNA, 492 nt
Filed under: uncultured bacterium
Lineage: Bacteria
Description: bacterial SSU rRNA
Rfam family: Bacterial small subunit ribosomal RNA
Source: RNAcentral
GAUGAACGCUAGCUACAGGCUUAACACAUGCAAGUCGAGGGGAAACGACAUCGAAAGCUUGCUUUUGAUGGGCGUCGACCGGCGCACGGGUGAGUAACGCGUAUCCAACCUGCCCACCACUUGGGGAUAACCUUGCGAAAGUAAGACUAAUACCCAAUGAUAUCCCACGAAGGCAUCCGAAUGGGAUUAAAGAUUUAUCGGUGAUGGAUGGGGAUGCGUCUGAUUAGCUUGUUGGCGGGGUAACGGCCCACCAAGGCUACGAUCAGUAGGGGUUCUGAGAGGAAGGUCCCCCCACAUUGGAACUGAGACACGGUCCAAACUCCUACGGGAGGCAGCAGUGAGGAAUAUUGGUCAAUGGGCGAGAGCCUGAACCAGCCAAGUAGCGUGCAGGACGACGGCCCUAUGGGUUGUAAACUGCUUUAUAAGGGAAUAAAGUGGGUCUCGUGAGACUUUUUGCAUGUACCUUAUGAAUAAGGACCGGCUAAUUCCGUG